This 395-nucleotide ribosomal RNA is filed under the name uncultured bacterium. RNAcentral describes it as "partial 16S ribosomal RNA". It matches the Rfam family "Bacterial small subunit ribosomal RNA", at positions 523 to 918 of the family's 1533-position model. The record is from RNAcentral.
AUACGUAAGGGGCAAGCGUUAUCCGGAUUCAUUGGGCGUAAAGCGCGCGCAGGCGGCCGCCUAAGCGGGACCUCUAAUCUUGGGGCUCAACCCCAAGCCGGGUUCCGAACUGGACGGCUCGGGUGCAGGAGAGGUAGGCGGAAUUCCCGGUGUAGCGGGGGAAUGCGCAGAUAUCGGGAAGAACACCGAUGGCGAAGGCAGCCUACUGGGCCGUUACCGACGCUGAGGCGCGAAAGCUGGGGGAGCGAACAGGAUUAGAUACCCUGGUAGUCCCAGCCGUAAACGAUGAUUGCUAGGUGUGGGGGUAAGCCUUACUUCCGUGCCGCAGCUAACGCAUUAAGCAAUCCGCCUGGGGAGUACGGCCGCAAGGCUAAAACUCAAAGGAAUUGACGGGG